RNAcentral lists this long non-coding RNA (559 nucleotides) under Salmo salar (Atlantic salmon). RNAcentral describes it as "lncRNA (ENSSSAG00000094004.1)". The record is from RNAcentral. Lineage: Eukaryota; Metazoa; Chordata; Actinopteri; Salmoniformes; Salmonidae.
GUAGAAGUGUUUUAGGGGUGGUGAGGGUCAGUUUUAGGUAGAAGUGUUUUAGGGGUGGUGAGGGUCAGUUUUAGGUAGAAGUGUUUUAGGGGUGGUGAGGGUCAGUUUUAGGUAGAAGUGUUUUAGGGGUGGUGAGGGUCAGUUUUAGGUAGAAGUGUUUUUAGGGGUGUGUGUGUGUGUGUGUGUGUGUGUGUGCGUGCUUGUGUCCUACCUCCAGGUCAUCCAGUGAGCGUGCCAGGCUGAUGCGUUUGGAGCGGCCGAAGGAUCGCCUUCCUGAGGAGCGCUGAGGUAGAGGAGGGAAGCCCUUAGUCAGACCUCUAAACCGACCAGCCUAGAGAGAAACACACACAGGUUAACUCUCCACACUUCAAUACACGGUCCUCUGUAGUUCGGCAUGCACACACACACACACACACACACACACAGUGGAGGCACAUGACAGUGUUUUGACUGGAGGAGACAGCAGGGUCACGCGAAGAAGAACUGUGUGGACGUCAUUCUCACAAACACUUCUCCUCUGGACAAUGUAAAAAUAACCCUCCCUGAGACACACACACAC